GACGAACGCUGGCGGCGUGCUUAACACAUGCAAGUCGAACGGAAAGGCCUCUUUCGGGGGGUACUCGAGUGGCGAACGGGUGAGUAACACGUGAGUAACCUGCCCUUGACUUUGGGAUAACUUCAGGAAACUGGGGCUAAUACCGGAUAGGAGCUCCUGCUGCAUGGUGGGGGUUGGAAAGUUUCGGCGGUUGGGGAUGGACUCGCGGCUUAUCAGCUUGUUGGUGGGGUAGUGGCUUACCAAGGCUUUGACGGGUAGCCGGCCUGGGAGGGUGACCGGCCACAUUGGGACUGAGAUACGGCCCAGACUCCGACGGGAGGCAGCAGUGGGGAAGAUUGCACAAUGGGUGGAAGCCUGAUGCAGCAACGCCGUGUGCGGGAGGACGGCCUUCGGGUUGUAAACCGCUUUCGCUCAUGACGAAGCUUUGUGUGACGGUAGUGGGUAAAGAAGCACCGGCUAACUACGUG
RNAcentral lists this ribosomal RNA (467 nucleotides) under uncultured bacterium. RNAcentral's name for it is "partial 16S ribosomal RNA". It matches the Rfam family "Bacterial small subunit ribosomal RNA", at positions 28 to 507 of the family's 1533-position model. The record is from RNAcentral.